This 1983-nucleotide long non-coding RNA is filed under the name Marmota monax (woodchuck). The record is from RNAcentral. Lineage: Eukaryota; Metazoa; Chordata; Mammalia; Rodentia; Sciuridae.
GGGCACUUUCUUAAUUACUCUCCCAGCCUCCUUUGCUGCUUGGUGUGACCAUGUGACAGUUAUGGCCAAUGAAACAGAAGGAAAUGUCUGCUGAUGGGCUUCUGGAAAAAUCUUAUUUUUUCAAUGGAUGUUAGAGAACUUGCUUCUGCUGCUUCUUUCCAUCCUCUUUGGGUUAUUGGAGCAAAGGUAUGAUGUAUGUAUUGUUGUGUCCAUGUUGGUCAACAAAAAUAAAGAUAUCAGAACAAAAAACAACAGGAAUAGUGAAUGGAAGAUUAAAGGAAAAAAAAAAAAACAGAUUACAGAUGCCUAUGAGCCAUUGCACCAAGAAUGAAAUUGCCUAUCUUUAGCUUGGGCAUAUGAAAUGGCAAAAGAUCAUUUUUCUUUAUUUCCUGGGGGUUGGUUAUUCUGUUACUUGCCCCUGACCUCAUCCCAACUGAUGCACCAAUGUUAGCACACCCUGAAACAACGUAGCCCUUAUUUUUACCUAUUCCUAUUUGAAUGGUCACUGUUUGGCUUCAUUUUCUUUACUCACAGGUACUGUGAAACAAUGAAACAGGGAGGUUAAAAGCAGAAGUCUUGGAACCAGAUGAUCCAGCUCUAGAACUUUCUAGAAAAUUUAGAAAUUUCUUCUAGCCCUUGAGAAAAUUUACAAAUGGAAGACUCACUCCUCAACAAUGAAAUGAGCUAAUUUAAAGUGGGGAUUAUAAUGAUGCCUACUUCCUUGGCCUACAGUGAUUAUAAAAAGAAGUAAGGUAGAUAAAGGGUCUAGCAAUGGCUUUGAAGUCUGGUUAUUACUGGUAUUUCUUCUAAUGAUGGGUGCAUAUGUUUAGUCACAGAGGUCUUACUCUCUGUUGCCCAAUCAGUGUCCAUGUUUUUUUUUUUUUCCUACUUGAUUUUUCUCCCAAUUCUUGAAACGUCAUGCUUCUAUAUCUCCCUUUCUCUUCCACAGUAGAAUCCAUGAAAUCAAGCAUUCAAUCCUAAGGGAAGUGCUAAGAGCAAAAUAAGGAAGUGUGGACCAUGGCUCUUUGCUAAAGGAAGCCUAUUGCUUAGUCUAGACAAUAAGUCUACCAGGAGCCAUACUGAAUAACAGCGUAGGACAAGAACCACCUUCAGGCAACAUGUAUCACAUUUCUCCCUGGAUCCCACCUGCAAGACUGGAGCCACCUGGGUAGGGAGGCAGAUGGAUUGGAGAAGGCUGCUAAGAGACCUGACCAGAUGGGGUCUUGAGGGGGUGUCAUUGUCAAGGGCACAGAGCUGGAACCUCAAGGAGACAGUGGUGGCUCCACCACCAGGCAAACCAACCCAUCAAGGAGAGCCUCCAAGGGCCUCCCUGGAGAGGACACUCUGGAAGAGUUGACUGGAGAGGGAAAUUACCUCCCCAAUGAGCAGUCAGAAUAGGGAUUUCUCAUCCUUCUGUUACAUCAAACAUCUGACUAAUGUUGUUGUUGGUGGUGGGGAGAUUCUCCAAGAUAAAAGUAAAUAGGGGUUUGGGGGUGUAGCUCAGUGGUACAGUACUCACCUAGCAUGUGUGAAGCACUGAGUUUGAUCCUUAACACCACAUAAAAAUAAAUAAAUAAAAUAAAGGUAUUGUGUCCACCUAUAACUAAAUAAAUACAGCCUGAGCUGUGACUUCCCCUUGUCUAUCCAGAUCGCGGAUGCUGCCUAUCCCUGGUACAUGGUUAACACUCACUGGACAAUGAUAUCUAGGGUCAGCAGCAUGGGGAGUAGUGCAGUAGAGAUGGAUUUGGAUCUCUUUGGAACUCUCCAUGAGUUGAGGGAGAGGGAGCUGCCUUGGGUUCUUCAUUUUCUCUGGUAUCAGCCUUGGAUAUGCUGACACUGAUAGUCAAAAGUGCAUGAUGAAUCCAACGGCCUCAGAGUAACAGGCAGCAGGCACCCUUGGGUUUGGCUGGUCAACAUUUUAUAGGCCAGUGUUGUUUUCUGAGCACAAGAAGUAAGGUUUGCUGGCCUCAUGUAGCCUUUGCC